This 23-nucleotide non-coding RNA is filed under the name Arabidopsis thaliana (thale cress). The record is from RNAcentral. Lineage: Eukaryota; Viridiplantae; Streptophyta; Magnoliopsida; Brassicales; Brassicaceae.
GUGGCAUUGUUCCGGGCUGCCCA